AAGUAUAACUAAUUGACUUUGAAACUGCGAAUGGCUCAUUAUAUCAGUUAUAGUUUAUUUGGUGAAGGAUACUAAUUGGAUAACCGUAGUAAUUCUAGGGCUAAUACAUGAGUAAAGUCCCGUUGGGAUGUGUUUAUUAGAAUGAAAACCAUAUGCUUCGGCAUGAUAGUGAGUAAUAGUAACCUAUCGUAUCGCAUGCUUAAAGUAGCGAUGAGUCUUUCAAGUUUCUGCCC
RNAcentral lists this ribosomal RNA (233 nucleotides) under uncultured Blastocystis sp. RNAcentral's name for it is "partial small subunit ribosomal RNA". It matches the Rfam family "Eukaryotic small subunit ribosomal RNA", at positions 61 to 312 of the family's 1831-position model. The record is from RNAcentral. Lineage: Eukaryota; Bigyra; Opalinata; Blastocystidae.